GACGAACGCUGGCGGCGUGCCUAAUACAUGCAAGUCGAGCGGACGGAUGGGAGCUUGCUCCCAGACCGUCAGCGGCGGACGGGUGAGUAACACGUGGGCAACCUGCCUGUAAGACUGGGAUAACUCCGGGAAACCGGGGCUAAUACCGGAUAACUCUUUCCCUCACAUGAGGGAAAGCUGAAAGAUGGCAUCUCGCUAUCACUUACAGAUGGGCCCGCGGCGCAUUAGCUAGUUGGUGAGGUAACGGCUCACCAAGGCGACGAUGCGUAGCCGACCUGAGAGGGUAAUCGGCCACACUGGGACUGAGACACGGCCCAGACUCCUACGGGAGGCAGCAGUAGGGAAUCUUCCGCAAUGGACGAAAGUCUGACGGAGCAACGCCGCGUGAGUGAUGAAGGUUUUCGGAUCGUAAAACUCUGUUGUCAGGGAAGAACAAGUACCGGAGUAACUGCCGGUACCUUGACGGUACCUGACCAGAAAGCCACGGCUAACUACGUG
RNAcentral lists this ribosomal RNA (498 nucleotides) under uncultured bacterium. Its description in RNAcentral is "partial 16S ribosomal RNA". It matches the Rfam family "Bacterial small subunit ribosomal RNA", at positions 28 to 507 of the family's 1533-position model. The record is from RNAcentral.